AUGGUUAAGUUAGAAAGGGCGCACGGUGAAUGCCUUGGCACUAGGAGCCGAUGAAGGACGGGACUAACACCGAUAUGCUUCGGGGAGCUGUAAGUGAGCUUUGAUCCGGAGAUUUCCGAAUGGGGAAACCCACUGUUCGUAAUGGAACAGUAUCUUUAUCUGAAUACAUAGGAUAUUGAAGGCAGACCCGGGGAACUGAAACAUCUAAGUACCCGGAGGAAGAGAAAGCAAAUGCGAUUUCCUGAGUAGCGGCGAGCGAAACGGAAUUAGCCCAAACCAAGAGGCUUGCCUCUUGGGGUUGUAGGACACUCUAUAUGGAGUUACAAAGGAACGAAGUAAAUGAAGCGACCUGGAAAGGUCCGUCGAAGAAGGUAACAACCCUGUAGUUGAAACUUCGUUCCCUCUUGAGUGGAUCCUGAGUACGGCGGAACACGUGAAAUUCCGUCGGAAGCUGGGAGGACCAUCUCCCAAGGCUAAAUACUACCUAGUGACCGAUAGUGAACCAGUACCGUGAGGGAAAGGUGAAAAGCACCCCGGAAGGGGAGUGAAAGAGAUCCUGAAACCGUGUGCCUACAAGUAGUCAGAGCCCGUUAACGGGUGAUGGCGUGCCUUUUGUAGAAUGAACCGGCGAGUUACGAUCCCAUGCAAGGUUAAGCUGAUAAGGCGGAGCCGUAGCGAAAGCGAGUCUGAAUAGGGCGUUUAGUAUGUGGUUGUAGACCCGAAACCAGGUGAUCUACCCAUGUCCAGGGUGAAGUUCAGGUAACACUGAAUGGAGGCCCGAACCCACGCACGUUGAAAAGUGCGGGGAUGAGGUGUGGGUAGCGGAGAAAUUCCAAUCGAACCUGGAGAUAGCUGGUUCUCUCCGAAAUAGCUUUAGGGCUAGCCUCAUGUUGUGAGAGUCUUGGAGGUAGAGCACUGAUUGGACUAGGGGCCCCCAACGGGUUACCGAAUUCAGUCAAACUCCGAAUGCCAAAGACUUAUCCAUGGGAGUCAGACUGCGAGUGAUAAGAUCCGUAGUCAAAAGGGAAACAGCCCAGACCACCAGCUAAGGUCCCCAAGUAUACGUUAAGUGGAAAAGGAUGUGGAGUUGCUUAGACAACCAGGAUGUUGGCUUAGAAGCAGCCACCAUUUAAAGAGUGCGUAAUAGCUCACUGGUCGAGUGACUCUGCGCCGAAAAUGUACCGGGGCUAAACGUAUCACCGAAGCUGUGGAUUGACAUCUUUGAUGUCAGUGGUAGGAGAGCGUUCUAAGUGCUGUGAAGUCAGACCGUAAGGACUGGUGGAGCGCUUAGAAGUGAGAAUGCCGGUAUGAGUAGCGAAAGACAAGUGAGAAUCUUGUCCACCGAAUGCCUAAGGUUUCCUGAGGAAGGCUCGUCCGCUCAGGGUUAGUCGGGACCUAAGCCGAGGCUGAAAAGCGUAGGCGAUGGCCAACAGGUUGAUAUUCCUGUACCACCUCCCCGCCGUUUGAGUAAUGGGGGGACGCAGUAGGAUAGGGUAAGCGCGCUGCUGGAUAUGCGCGUUCAAGCAGUUAGGCUGAUGAGUAGGCAAAUCCGCUCAUCAUAAAGGCUGAGCUGUGAUGACGAGGGAAUUAUAGUACCGAAGUUCCUGAUUCCACACUGCCAAGAAAAGCCUCUAGCGAGGCGGGAGGUGCCCGUACCGCAAACCGACACAGGUAGGCGAGGAGAGAAUCCUAAGGUGAUCGAGAGAACUCUCGUUAAGGAACUCGGCAAAAUGACCCCGUAACUUCGGGAGAAGGGGUGCUCUGGUAGGGUGUAUAGCCCGAGAGAGCCGCAGUGAAUAGGCCCAGGCGACUGUUUAGCAAAAACACAGGUCUCUGCGAAGCCGCAAGGCGAAGUAUAGGGGCUGACGCCUGCCCGGUGCUGGAAGGUUAAGAGGAGGGGUUAUCCUUUGGGAGAAGCUCUGAAUCGAAGCCCCAGUAAACGGCGGCCGUAACUAUAACGGUCCUAAGGUAGCGAAAUUCCUUGUCGGGUAAGUUCCGACCCGCACGAAAGGCGUAACGAUCUGGGCACUGUCUCAACGAGAGACUCGGUGAAAUUAUAGUACCUGUGAAGAUGCAGGUUACCCGCGACAGGACGGAAAGACCCCGUGGAGCUUUACUGUAGCCUGAUAUUGAAUUUUGGUACAGCUUGUACAGGAUAGGUAGGAGCCUGAGAAGCCGGAGCGCUAGCUUCGGUGGAGGCGUCGGUGGGAUACUACCCUGGCUGUAUUGAAAUUCUAACCCGCGGCCCUGAUCGGGCCGGGAGACAGUGUCAGGUGGGCAGUUUGACUGGGGCGGUCGCCUCCUAAAAUGUAACGGAGGCGCCCAAAGGUUCCCUCAGAAUGGUUGGAAAUCAUUCGUAGAGUGUAAAGGCACAAGGGAGCUUGACUGCGAGACCUACAAGUCGAGCAGGGACGAAAGUCGGGCUUAGUGAUCCGGUGGUUCCGCAUGGAAGGGCCAUCGCUCAACGGAUAAAAGCUACCCCGGGGAUAACAGGCUUAUCUCCCCCAAGAGUCCACAUCGACGGGGAGGUUUGGCACCUCGAUGUCGGCUCAUCGCAUCCUGGGGCUGUAGUCGGUCCCAAGGGUUGGGCUGUUCGCCCAUUAAAGCGGUACGCGAGCUGGGUUCAGAACGUCGUGAGACAGUUCGGUCCCUAUCCGUCGUGGGCGUAGGAAAUUUGAGAGGAGCUGUCCUUAGUACGAGAGGACCGGGAUGGACACACCGCUGGUGUACCAGUUGUCUUGCCAAAGGCAUCGCUGGGUAGCUAUGUGUGGACGGGAUAAGUGCUGAAAGCAUCUAAGCAUGAAGCCCCCCUCAAGAUGAGAUUUCCCAUAGCGCAAGCUAGUAAGAUCCCUGAAAGAUGAUCAGGUUGAUAGGUCAGAGGUGGAAGCGUGGCGACAUGUGUAGCUGACUGAUACUAAUCGAUCGAGGACUUAACCAAA
Molecule: ribosomal RNA, 2939 nt
Filed under: Priestia megaterium
Lineage: Bacteria; Bacillati; Bacillota; Bacilli; Caryophanales; Bacillaceae
Description: 23S ribosomal RNA
Rfam family: Bacterial large subunit ribosomal RNA
Source: RNAcentral